UUGAGGAUGUGCUUGUGUGUCACACCAAUGAAUACAAGCCUUUCACAACUGAAGAAAAUAAAUAUAACCUCAGCAUAUGAGAGAAAGAUAAUACAAUUUUUAACGGUUGCUCAACCUGCUUGCUUUGAUUUGCAGCAAAAUCUCUAAAAAAAAAUCUACAGACUGAUGAAAUUUGAAAACUACUGUGCAAACCACCAUAAAGAUGUGAUAAGUUACUCCACAAAACCUCUUCUCAAAUUUCCCAUAACUGCUAACAUUGACCUCUUCCAUUUCUUCUAAGUUACUUUUACCCCAGGUCAACACACAAAUGUCUGCAUUCUGUUACAAAAUAUUUUCAGAUUUUACAAACUAGCAAGCACUUACUAACAUUUUAAUAGGCAAACAGUUAAUUUUGCAUAAAAUUCUAGUAUAGUCAAGCCCAUCUUUAUCUAGCCUUUAUCUAGCCUAUUGAAUGACGUUACAGAGUGCAGUGUUUCAAAUGUUGACAGACAUGGCAUGUCUAUCCCAUACUCAUGAUUACUUCUACCAAAGCAGUUGAAAAUGUUAGGAGGAAAAUCCUAGGACAAACAAAUACAAAAAGUCUGCUAUAAUACUAAUUUAGCAAAUUAAAUGCACUUACUCCUAUCCAUGCCAAAUUGUUCUACUUUUGAAUAUUUUGUCUUCUCAUUUGAGAAGACAGAAGUUGAAUUCCAAAAAAAAAAACAGUGCUGAUUUUAUCAAGGACACAAGUAUAACCAAAUAACAUUGAAUGGCACAUCAAAGAGCAUACUAGUUUUAUUAGAACAAUAUAUAUGCAAAAGCUCCACAUUAUAUUAUAAGUACUAAAUGUGUGUAUUCUUCAGUAUAAUUUCAGAAGGAUCAGGAAAGGGAUUUGUUUAUUUUUUAAGUUUACAUACUUAUAUUCGGUAUUCAAUGAGAAAAUACUCUACUGGCAAGUGUCCCUCCAUAUACUGUGGCAUUCAUCAGAAGGGAUAAAGUUACACAAGAUCUGGCCUAUAUCACCUCUAAGGAAGGUGGAGAUUAUUAGCUAGAUCUGAAUAAUAGUAGUUUAAUCCCAGAAAAUCUGGGCAUCCCUAAAUGCAGGAGACCAAGUCCCAGCAACUGCACAGCAUGUGUAUCCCUAAUGGGAGCAGCAGGUAUUUAUUCUGUAUUCACAUUUAACAAUGCUGUUCCUUGUCCCACCAGAGCAGGUUCCAAGUAGCUUCUGCUCAUUUUCCCCUCUUAAGGAAUUCUGGGAUUUCCAUCAGGUAACCUACAAUGAAAAUCACACAAGCAAAACCAGCAAUACUGAGUCAGAGACCUAAUUUUCUUCAUUAAAAAUGUCCAACUAUUUUUACAGCACAGUAACCCGUGGAUUUCCAGCCUGCGGACAGGCACCCCUCCGACGAUGCCCAGGUCAGUGCUCGGUGCCUUCGCGCUGCUGGGUGCCCCCUACCGUGAGGGAAGCCCAAGGCAAGGCCUGCGGGCUUCCUCCCGCCUUUCC
Molecule: long non-coding RNA, 1483 nt
Organism: Pezoporus flaviventris
Lineage: Eukaryota; Metazoa; Chordata; Aves; Psittaciformes; Psittacidae
Exons: 3
Source: RefSeq, a predicted model, not a curated record